GAUGAACGCUGGCGGCGUGCCUAAUACAUGCAAGUCGAACGAGGUGCUUUUGUAGCAAUACGAGAGUAUCCUAGUGGCGAACGGGUGAGUAACGCGUUGGUGACCUACCCCAAAGUGUGGAAUAACAGUCCGAAAGGAUUGCUAAUACCGCAUGUGGUUAUCGGGCUUAGAAACUGAUAACUAAAGGAGCAAUUCGCUUUGGGAGGGACCUGCGUCCCAUCAGCUAGUUGGUGAGGUAACGGCUCACCAAGGCUACGAC
Molecule: ribosomal RNA, 259 nt
Filed under: uncultured bacterium
Lineage: Bacteria
Description: partial 16S ribosomal RNA
Rfam family: Bacterial small subunit ribosomal RNA
Source: RNAcentral